GAGAACUUGUUCUCCACUAGCUUACCUGGUUAAAUAAAGGUGAAAUAAAAUAAAAUAAGAAACAUUUUUAAUCUUUCCCAGAACGGGGAUGUAGCUCAGUGGUAGAGCGCAUGCUUCGCAUGUAUGAGGUCCUGGGUUCAAUCCCCAGCAUCUCCAUUUAAAAUUAUUGCAUUGACCCAACUCCUACUUUACAGAAUGUUGUAAUUCUAAGCAGGAAACAGAGACGUGCUAAAUAAUUUGGUUUUGUAAUCUGAAGAACAUUCCUUCAAUCCCUGUUCGUACAAUUAUAGAACAGAAGUGGCAUGAUUGCCAUGUUUUAUGGCGUCAUUUUCAAAAACUGAAGUUUAUGGGUUCGAUCCCAGUCUGUACCUGGUUUAAGAAUUGCUGC
This 388-nucleotide transfer RNA is filed under the name Salmo salar (Atlantic salmon). Its description in RNAcentral is "lncRNA (ENSSSAG00000087523.1)". The stretch from base 85 to 156 matches the Rfam family "tRNA". The record is from RNAcentral. Lineage: Eukaryota; Metazoa; Chordata; Actinopteri; Salmoniformes; Salmonidae.